RNAcentral lists this ribosomal RNA (263 nucleotides) under Hyla sanchiangensis (San Chiang treefrog). RNAcentral describes it as "partial 16S ribosomal RNA". It matches the Rfam family "Bacterial large subunit ribosomal RNA", at positions 2512 to 2850 of the family's 2925-position model. Lineage: Eukaryota; Metazoa; Chordata; Amphibia; Anura; Hylidae. The record is from RNAcentral.
GCGGGUUUACGACCUCGAUGUUGGAUCAGGGUAUCCCAGUGGUGCAGCCGCUACUAAAGGUUCGUUUGUUCAACGAUUAAAACCCUACGUGAUCUGAGUUCAGACCGGAGUAAUCCAGGUCAGUUUCUAUCUAUAAGGAGCUUUUUCUAGUACGAAAGGACCGAAAAAACAUGGCCUAUAUAUAAUACAAGCCAUAUUUAGUAAUUUAUGAUUAAAACUCAAUAAAUACUUGACCUAUUACUCAACUCUAAACAAGAGUAGUU